GUCCAGUGAUGUAUCGUUGCAUCUUCCGACGGCCGACGAUGUCGUUGCAUCUUCCGACGGCCGACGAUGUCGUUGCGGUGCGUUUGGCUUCACAAUGCACAGCUGAGAAGGCAACUAUGCUGACCGAUAACCUGAAUCUAAGGACUGCCGUCAUGGCUCUUCUGGCAUCGUUUCACAGGUUGGUUUUCUUUAUCUCCAAAAGUGCAUCAACGCUGUGGAGUAUUUAUUCUCGUGUUCUUGCAUCAUUCAUUGAAUCCUAUGCGCCACUGUCACACACCUUCAUGCCCGUCCCUGGAUCAAGCGUCAUCCGAGGUGCAGCACCGCCCUGGGCAGGUCGUGAGCACUCCUUCAGUCGUCACCUGCACAUCGGCAGGAAAUCCAGUGCCUUGAUGCAUCUUCCUCAUAUACAUGAGCUCUUCUCUCCGGCCUCGUGUAACGACGCCGGCCGCUGAGUUGGACCCAAAAAAGUAGUGUGCGACUCACCCUUCCAUCCCCUCUCUAGUUCUUCCAUUGUUUUUGAGUUUUGGUCUGACUUGAAAAAGAGUAUGUGUUUGGCAGCGACGGCAUGGUCACCGUGAAUAAAUAAAUUUUGAUUGUAA
Triticum aestivum (bread wheat) is the source of this 599-nucleotide long non-coding RNA. RefSeq lists it as uncharacterized. The record is from RefSeq and is a predicted model, not a curated record. NCBI's taxonomy places the organism in Eukaryota, Viridiplantae, Streptophyta, Magnoliopsida, Poales, Poaceae. The transcript has 2 exons.